RNAcentral lists this ribosomal RNA (253 nucleotides) under uncultured bacterium. RNAcentral describes it as "partial 16S ribosomal RNA". It matches the Rfam family "Bacterial small subunit ribosomal RNA", at positions 524 to 776 of the family's 1533-position model. The record is from RNAcentral.
UACGGGGGGUGCAAGCGUUACUCGGAAUCACUGGGCGUAAAGGGCGCGUAGGCGGCUUGUUAAGUCUGAUGUGAAAGCCCUGGGCUUAACCUGGGAACGGCAUUGGAUACUGGCGAGCUAGAGUUCGGUAGAGGGUGGUGGAAUUCCCGGUGUAGCGGUGAAAUGCGUAGAGAUCGGGAGGAACACCGGUGGCGAAGGCGGCCACCUGGACCGAGACUGACGCUGAGGGACGAAAGCGUGGGGAGCAAACAGG